AUGCUAUCUGGGUGGGAUUUCCUGCAAUAUCUCCUCACAGGACAAAAGAAAAGCAUAGAGCAAGGAAAGAAGAAUCAACAAAGAACAAUAAUUCCAACAGUAAUGUGGAAACACAGACGUUUGUUGGGCAUGAUAAAUAAGAGAAGCACAGCCAGCUCUCUCAUUAGAGAGGAUAAGGCAUCUGCCUCAGGGAAUCAUUACUGAAAUGGCAACCAUCAUCCAACAGGCUUGCUCAUUUGUGUCUGUGUCUGCAUUUCUUCAAAACCCUUGAGGAGGGAAUUAAAGAGUGCUCCAAGGCUUAUGAACUAGGUAAUCAGGAAAAAUGCAUACAUUACCUACUACAGAAGAAAAAGAAGCACCGAGCAGAUUUAUUAGGGAGGCCUGUUGUAAUGUAAAAAUAAAAAAGAGUGAAAGAAAUAAAAUGCUGAAUUC
This 432-nucleotide long non-coding RNA is filed under the name Pogona vitticeps (central bearded dragon). Its description in RNAcentral is "lncRNA (ENSPVIG00000004441.1)". The record is from RNAcentral. Lineage: Eukaryota; Metazoa; Chordata; Lepidosauria; Squamata; Agamidae.